RNAcentral lists this long non-coding RNA (11400 nucleotides) under Marmota monax (woodchuck). The record is from RNAcentral. Lineage: Eukaryota; Metazoa; Chordata; Mammalia; Rodentia; Sciuridae.
GGAAUCUCAAGAGGACACAGGCCAUAAACUAAGCUCUUUCCUGACCUCUUGUUUCAGUACCUUUCAAGGCCAGUGGCUCCCUUCCUCAGCACCUGUCCCUGUGCCAUGGGCUGCGGCAGGGCUGAGCUGGGUUGCAGAGUCCCCUGGACCAGGUGUGUCUUGGACCAACAGCAUCAGCAGCCCCAGAAAUCUUGUCAGAAAUGCAGGAUCCCAGGGCCUCUCCACCACUGAGUCGCAUCAGCAAUUCAACAAGAUCCCAGGUAACCAAUGGACACCUUAAAGCUUGAGAGCUUCUGGUCUCCAGGACUCUGCUGCCUAACUCCCCUUAUCAUGGCCGCUGGGGCUUGGAGCUGUUUUGGGCGUUGUUCUCCGGGUGGUGGGAGCUUGGUCCUCAGGGUGGUGACGUUGACAAGUGGUGAGAUCUUCCAGAGGUAGGAUCUGUGGAAGAUCCUAGUCUUUGGGCACUGCCCUUGAAAGGACUAACAUAGUUAUCAUGGGACCCUGGUUAAUUCUUGAGAGAGAGAGUUGUUCUAGAAGAGCAAGACUGGACCCUCAUGCUUUCUGGCUUCCUGUCUCACCAUAUGAUCUCUCCUUCUUACACAUACUAAUACCAUGAUGACAUCCAUCAUAAUAUUACCUAGCAAGAGAGGGAAACCUUCUCAAGUGCUGGCACCACAUUGUUGGGACUUCCUGCCUCUAAAACUAUGAACUAAAUCAACCUCUUUUCUUUAUAAGUUACCCAGACUUGGAUAUUUUGUUAUAGCAAUACAAAACAGAAUAACACACUGAUAAUGUUUAGAUUAUUGAAGGACUUUGCAGUUUAGAAUGCUUCUGGCUAGGAAGCCAGGUUUUUCAAGUGGUCUUCAUUGGGUUUCUCCUUUAUUUGACAGCCAUAAUAAGUAUCCAUUGACCAUAAAAUUGUUUAGGUGUUUACUUCUUCUAUACAUGUAUAUACGUGCUUUCAUACAGAGGAUCAUUUUAUAUGCUGUUUUUGAAUCUGUUAUUUCACUAAGCAAUAAAACACAUUUAUCUAGGCCAUUGUGUAUUCUUUUUCAUAUUAUUUGUACUCCAUGCAUGGACUUUUAUUGGCAUAGAGGUAGUGUAAUUCACUUAAUCAGUUCUCAACUAUUGCAUAUCAGGGUUUAUGAACAAUAUAAGAUUGAAAUAUUAUUUUAAAAUUUUAAUAAAAAAUAAUGCUACUUUAUUAUGGAAAGUAAUGUAAAUGAAUGUCACUGACACUACAUUUUUGUCACCGUUUAGGAAAGGAACUUAUCAUAUGACAAAGCAGCACCACAUCUAUAGAUAAAUAGUGUUGGAGAAACUGGGGGGUAAAUAUUUUUCACUCUGUGCUGAGAUUCAAAUAUGGUUUAUUGUCACCCCAAAAUUCGCUUUGAGACUUGAUUUCUCAACGUGGCAGUGUUAGCGGGUGGGGCUUCUGAGAGGUGAUUGGGCCACUGGGCGCUGCUUCUCAGGAAUGGGCUAGUGCCUUUCUUCAGAGACUAGGUCAGUUCUCUUGAGACUGGAUCAGGUCUUCCUGAUGAGUUUGAUCCCUCAGGCCUGGACUGGUUUCUACAAGAGCAGCUUGUUAUGCAGCCAGCCCCUUAGUUACGUACAUGAUCCUUCCUCAUGCACUCACUUCUCCUCUCUGCUUUUCCAUCCUGAUGUGACCCAACAUGAGGCCCUCAUCAGAAGCCAACAAGAUGUGAUUACCCAAUCUUGGGUAGAAUUUUCAACCAAAAUAAAUCUCCUUUCUUUAUAAAUUUCCCAGCCUCCAGUAUUUUGUUAUAGUAACACAAAAUGGAUUAAAAGACUGUGACUACAUUUAAGGUUGAACUCUAGAUGAUAAGAUGGUGUGACGGUUUGGAUAUGAAGUGUCCUCCAAAGUCUCAAGGCAGCAAGAUUCAGAGGGAGGAAUUUGGGGAAGUGAUUGGAUCAUGAAGGCUCUGACCUCAUCAGUGGAUUAAUUCAUUGAUAACUGAAUGAAUUAUUGAGAGGUGAUGAAAACUAUAGGCAGGUGGGGCAUGAUGGAAGGAAGUAGGUCAUUGGGGUGCAUUUUAGAAAGGUAUAUCUUGUCCUUGACCUUCUCUCUACCCCUCCCCCACUUCCCUCUCCUGGAUGCCAUGAGCUGAGAAGAUACUCUCUGCCAUUCCCUUGUACCAUGAUGUUCUGUCUUACUUCAGGUAAUGAAGCCAACUGACCAUGGACUGAAACCUCUAAUACCCUGAGCAAAAAUAAAUCUUUUUUCCUUUAAGUUUUUUAUGCCAGGUAUUUUGGUCACAGUGACAAAAACCUGACUACUGCAGAAGCACAGAUGGCCUAAAUGUGACAGGUCAAAUCACACAAUAAGACAAAAUGUAGGAGAUGAGACAAGGAGCUGGGAUUAUUGGAUGAACUUUGUGUGCAAAAACUGGAGAAGUAUAUAAACUCUGAGGUUACAAAAAAAAAAAAAAGCCAUAUUUGAUUACAUCGAUUUUAAGUACUUCCAUUCAGCAAAAGAUACCAUAACUAAAGCACAAACCGACUGAAAGAAGAUAUUGGUAAUGUCUAAAGCUUGGCAAGGGUCAAUAUCUAAAUUACAGAAUUUUCAAGAAAUUCCUGCAUAUCAAAAUUUUUUAAAAGUUCCCAACAGGGGCUGGGGUUGCGGCUCAGUGGUAGAGCACUUGCCUAGCAUGUGUGAGGCACUGGGUUUGAUCCUUAGCACAACAUAAAAAUAAAUAAAUUAAUUAAUUUAAUAAAGGUAUUGUGUCCACCUACAACAAAAAAUUUUUUUUUUAAAGUUCAGGAAAAAAAAAUAGCAAUAUCAUUGGGAAGAUAGAAGAGAAUAGUAACAAGCAGUUUCAAAAAAAGAAAACAAAAGAAAAGAAAGAAAGAAAGAAAGAAAGAGAAAAAGAACUUCAAAAAGCAUAGCCCAAAUGCUCAAACUCAUUACUGAGCACAGAGGGACAAAACUAAAUCAACAUUGACAUGUCGCCACACCAGUAUUGGACUAGAAAAUUGGAAAGUGGUUCAAUUAGAAGGGUGGGUAGAUGUGGCAACAAGAGCCUUGGCCCACCAGCGGUGGGACUAUGGAUUGGCGCGGUUCUCUCUGAGAGUUGCUGGGUAAGAUGAAGUCAAAUUAAAUGGACAAACACCCUGACACCCAGCACUCUACUGCCCUGGUCAGCUGUCACCAGGAAUUCCUCACCAGUGUCCAUAAAGGAAUGUGAAUUUUCAUCACAGCAUUGUGUAGGAUGACCAGAAACUGGAAGUCACCUGCAUGAGGAUGAUUGGAAAAAUGGAAAAGCAAAAUAUGUUGAAUGUCGAGUUUGUACAGCAGGUAGAAGAAAUAGGUAUUACAACAAGUAGCUAUGGGGCUGGACCUUAAAAACAGUGGAGGGUGAAGAAGUCUAUAGAAUAUACAUAAUACUAUGAAGUAAAUUAAAAUAUAUAUGCGUACAAAGCAGAAGACAUUUUGAAGGAGCUCAUGCAUUCCAAGGUGCCUGUUAGAAGCAACAGCAAGAUUGCCUGCAGCCCAGAAAGAGGAUUGAAAGAAAGGAGAAGGAAUAAAAGAUAACACAAGGGAAGAGCCUCAGAGGACUGCUCAGGCAGAGGCCAACCUUGGCACUCAGUGAGGGAAGAACCUUUAUUCAUAUCUGUAAUUAUUCUGUAGAUUGACUUCACUACAUUCUGAAGUUGGGAGGAGAUGAAAAGCAACAGGAUUCCCCAUUAGUUGGCCGAGGCCUUCACACAGAGGACCCUCACCUACUAUUUCUGAGCUUGAGGCUAAUUUCCCUUUUCCCCCAGAGCAGUGACACCCUGAAGUGAAUUUCAGCCCCCCCUUCUCUGGCUGGGCCAGGAGAUAAGGAGGCAGCUGCUCCGAGAUGUGGUUGCUGAUGAACAGGAGGAGAAUCGGGUCCUGUGUAUGCAGAUUAUCACAUGACAGCAUUCGAUAAGCCUCGCACGUUAGGAUCACAGGAUCUUAGACUCGAGCCCAGGGAGUCUCUGGGUUUGACCUCUCCUCUAUCAUGAGAGCCCCUUCAACAACCUCUGCAGAGGCUAAGGGCUCCUAGUACACAAGGCAAUUCCCUGCUCCUCCACUCCCUGACCCCCAGGUCCCUAGCCUUCCUCCAACUCUACCUUACAGGCCGGGAGGCCGGCCCCUGCAGAUUUUAUCUGGAAUCUCUUGGUCCUAAAGACUGGAUGUCACUGAACAAAAACAGGACUAAAUCUCAGAUGCCUAUGGGUAACGGUCCCCACGUGCAGUUCUCUGUCCUGUGUGCCCAGGACAAACCACUUCUUAGACCAGAGGCAGCUCAAGAGCCAACAGCUAAGGGGUUUGACAUUCUUAAAGGGUUGUAAAAAGACAGAGUGGGAGAAAGAGAGAAAGAGGAGGAGGAGGAGGAGGAAGGAUAAAAGGAGGAAAAGGAGAAGAAAGAAGGAGGAGGAGAAGGAGAAAUGGAAGCUGUAUGUGGCCUCAAAGCCUAAAAUAUUUACUCUCUGAAAAAGGUCUGCAGACUGCUACUUCGAGAAACCGCAGCAGCCUUGGCGUGACCUGGGGGCUUUUUGGAAAUGAAGGGUUUCUGGCAUGUCUGGGAGCUUCAGAAUCAAACAGGAGUCCUGGGUGAUGGGAGGGCACAGGGAAGACUGGGAAGCCUGGCCCCUGGGUGUCUCAACUUGGCAUGGCUGGCUUUGGUUGCUCAGGGGCAAGCUCUAGGGCUGGACGUGGGGGUUGGAAUCCUGGCUCUACCGCUUCUUUGCUGAGAGUCCAAGGAUGUCCUUUCAUCUUUAUCAAGCCCUGUUUCUUCCUCUCUGAAAUGGAGAUAAUCACAGUUUCCACCUGAUAGGGGUUUCAUGUGGUUUUAGAUCCUCGAGCUCCCAGCAAGAGCUCCAUGAUGCCAGACUCCGUUUCUACUGUGCGGCCUCUCGUGUCAAGCCUCCGAGCAGGGGCACAUGCUUUGCAUAGAUACCCAGGGCUUCUGCACCGAUGGGCUGGGGUGUUUCCUGAGAAUCCUAGCUAUGCAAAUACUCUGCAUCAGCAGGUGAGAAGGGCAAGGGUGAGCCCACACCCGCCCCACCUGGGUCAGCCUGUUUCUUUUCAACACUCCAGGAGGGAGGGGACAAUUGCUUUCUGAUUGGGGACGAAUUGGUGUGCUUAGGACAGAGAUACGGGCACUUGUUUCCCUGAGAAACACUCAGUGUUUGGAUCACAUUGAAACAAGGUUAACAUUUACAAAAACAGAAACAAAUAAAACCCCUCUGCUUCCACUCAGAAGCUGCCACACGCAGGCUGCCUUGGACAUGACCUUGCCUCUGGUGGCCUUCCUUAGGCCUUGAAAUGACUGCCUUGUGGUCUGAUUUGCAUUUAGUAUGUGCUUUUCCUGCACAAGGUUCACGUGGAUUCUGCCUGGCUGAGGCCAGGUAGGAGCAGGUGAGGGCGGAAGUUAGAGGACAGCUAGUGACCUCACCUGGGGCUUCGAGAAAGGGACUUGUUUCAGUGUAGAUUUACCAACUGCCAUUCCAAGGGAGGACCUAACACAAAGCACAGUCUCUGUGCUUUCCAUACGAGAGCCCGAGAUUUGCUUCCCGUUUGGCUUUUGAGGAUUGCUUCUCUAGAUGCAUGCAGCCUGCCUCAAUAUUUUCAAGGAUACAGAUUCUAGAAAAGGCAUUUGUCCCCAAGUGCCAUUUACUUUCCUAAGUACAUAGUUCAAGUCACCUCAGAACCCAGCAAAUCCCCUGCUGUUGCUUUGUGAACUUGGGCUUCUCAAGGGUAAACUUGAUGCUUUUUAAGGUAGGACCAUUUUUCCCCCACGAUGGACAUGACACAUAAAUUGCAUACAGGAUACAUCUUUUGUGGAGGGUGGGUUUUUAUUUAUUUAUUUAUUCACUUUUUAAUGGGGUACAUUAUGGUAACCCAACACAUGUAUAAUAAUCAAACCAGGUAAUAAGCAUUUCCAUCUCUUCUACCAUUUUUACAUAUGGAAAUUUCAUACUUUGGGGGUCAUUUUUGCCAGCUGCCAGCAAUUUUGAAAUGGGUUAUAGAUUAUUUGAAUCAAUAGUUACCCUGCUGUGCUCAAGAAGAGCCAGAGGGAUUCCUCCACUGUGUUUUUGGUAAACUUUCUUUUGUCCGCCCUCACCCCUGCCCUUUCCACCCUCUAGUGACCACUCUUCCAUUCUGUUCUUCUAUACAAUUGACUUAUUAGUUUCCACAAAUGAGGGAGAACAUAGGAUUCAGCAACUCCAUGACAGAGUAUAUAUCCAAAGAAGAGGAAAUCAUUACUUUGAUUUUGCAAAGUAUCUUUGCAAGAAACACAUACUCUCAUGUUUAUUACAGCACUGGUUGCAAUAGCCAAGGCAUGGAAUCCACCUGGUGUCCUUCAGAAAGAAUAAGAAAAUGUAGAAUAGAUAGACAAUGGAAUUCUAUUCAGCCAUAAAAAAUAAAAAAUAAAAUAAAAUCCUGUUUGCAGUAACAUGAAUGAAACAAGCCAGAUGCACAAAAAGGAUACUACUUAAAAUAAAAAAUACACACACACAUGCACACACACCCAGAGUUUGCACAAUAUUUUGCAUUUGGCCACUUAGUUCUUUUAUUUUUAUUUUUUUGAUGGGGGUAGGGAGGGACCAGGGAUUGAAUUCAGGGGCACUAGAUCACUGAGCCACAUCUCCAGCCCUUUUUUUGUAUUUUAUUUAGAGACAGGGUCUCACUGAAUUGCUAAGCGCCUUGUCUUUGCUGAGGCUAGCUUUGAACUUGCGAUCCUCCUGCCUCAGCCUCCCAAGCCACUAGGAUUACAGGCAUGUGCCACCGGGCCCAGCUGGCCACUUAAUUUUAAAACCUUUUGGCAAAUCAGAAGGCAGGAGAGUUGGCAUGGGGGAGAGAUCUCUGUGGGGCUGCAUGACGUGAGUUCUAGCGUGGGCUCUUCCACUAACUCAGUGAUGUGACCCUAAGUAGUCCCGUAAGCUCAGUUUCCUUAUCUGUAAAAUUUAGAUAGUGGGUGCCACAUGGGCUGCAUUGAGCUCUACAACUUCCACAGGCUGGCGGAGGGCUGCCUCUGUGGGGUGGGGUUCGAGUGAUGGAGGACAUCAGCCUCCCACUUCUUUAACUAGAGCAGCUCCACUUUCUUCUGUUUUACACACAAGGCACCAGGAGUCUGUUUGAAGGAGGGUCUUCAAAGCUGAGCUAAAACCUUUUAAAAAAAUGACUUAGAUGACCACUCAAGUAGGAUGAUCCUACAUAAUUUAUCAUCCACCCUGGGACAUUUUGAGAUUGAAAAGGAUGUUAUUAAUAAUGGCACUGAGACAAUAGAUUCCAGUGGGGCCACCCCAGGCAAAGAUGUGUGUUCACCCACCUCUGACUCCUCUAAGAGCUCAGAGUCUCCUUGCUUUUGCAUCCUAUCAUUCUGUGGCUUGACUGCUUACUCCCACUUAGCAUCAGGCAGAAUUCUGGGAGUGACCCUAGGGACAGCAGCAAUCAAAGACAGCCUCAGGGAAUGGAGUCAUUAGGUGAUAGCCUGAGGGACAGCAGUCAUCAGGAGCAGCUCCAGGGACAGAAGCCAUCAGGAGACAGCACCAUGCUUUCCUACAAGAGCAUGCAGCUGGAAGAAAUGCACCCAUGAGGCCACCUGACAAUGACGGAUGACACAAGUUCAGCCUGGUUCUUGUUCAGAAUCCUGUGCGAAUCACAAGUUACAUGGCGAAGACAGCAGAAAACUCAACCAGCAAUUACCCAGUAAGCAAGAACCCACGAGGAACCCAGUCUGGGACAUGAAUAUUGGUUGUGAAAGAAUAAGCACAAAUGGCCCAAAUCUCAGGUCCUCAGAUUGCAGGAGAGUCCAUAGAGGAGUGUCACAAGGCACACAUGAAAGUUACAUUUCCCAGGCAGGCUGUCAGUGGGCUCUUGUGCCAAACCCAAAGUAUCCUAUUGUGAUUUCUGCCAAGAAAAUUAAAAUGGCAGAGGAGCCAGGACCUCUCUUCCUGCCUUCUUACCCCAUGGACAGGGCAGCGUCUGUUAGGACCUCUGAUCCCAUGGGGCUUAGGUUUGAAUCAGUAGUGGUGGAUUACUCAAUUAUUUCAUUAAACACCAUCCCCCCUGUUCACCCACCCAGAGUUUCUUGCUGUGAUGUUCUACUGCUUCUCCUCCUCCAGGAAUGUUCUUUGCAUCAAAAUGACCCUGCCCUCCCUCCUGUUUUGUCUCACUAUGGUGAAGUUCAUUCGCUGGCAGCCCAGCAAGCAGGAGGAGGCUGGUGUUGGUACAUACCUGCUACUCGUUUACCUUUGAUGAUUUUUUUUUUUCCUGGUUACCUUCAGUUGGCAAAUAAUGGUUAGGGACUCUGGGGCUAGGAAUGGGAUAUAGUUCUGCAUCCUAAUCUGGGCUUUCCUUUCUGCCACCAGUUGUGUGAUAUUGGACAAGAAGAGCAACCUGCCUGAGUCUUGGGUUUUCUCCUCUGUAAAGUAGAAUUAUAUGAUUUGCCCUGUCUCCUUUCCAGGACUGUGAUGAGGACCCCGCAAGUGUCACCAUUGUCUGCCGCCACCUUCUCAUCUGCCCGCCCCAUCCCAGGCCAAGAAGACUCCUGCAGUUCCUCUGGAAUUCUCUGGAAUUCUGCUCUCACGGGAACCCUGGCUCCACUCAAACACCAUCCCUCUCACAUCUCAUUCCUGGGGUUGUUCCCCUCCUCUGCUUCUAGUUUCUUUGCACAAAACUCACUUUGCACAUGUUAAUAAGCCAGAUUUCCAUGAAGCAGAACAGUUCACGUCACAGCCCCGCACACAGCUAACAGUUCAAUAUUGGACUUUCAUUUCUGAACCGCCUUGUAUAUUUCUGCCAGCUCACCUUCUGCCCCCUCCCUCUUCUCGACUCUCAGCAGCAUGGAAAUUUUUUCUGGGAAUCAUUUUGCAGAGCAAUUCCAUUCCUCCAGUCCCUACUCCCAGAUUCAACACGGGCUUCCCUUGAUGACUCCAAAGACUCACGAAUGUGUUUGGCUGAACAAUGCAACGUGCUCUAUGUACGGUCUGAAAUAAGAAAAAAAAUUUCUUUUAUGUAAGAAUGAAAUGGUGUCCAACUUAGGAAUUAGGUUGGAUCCCAACGUGCUGAGUCUGAGGAGAGACUUUAGCCAAUAACAAACAGCCCUGAGAGCUUCUGAGGAAACUGGCCAACUAGGAGGAACCCAGUAUUGGGAGGGGACACUGCAGCCAAGAGGCCUUUGCACUGUGCCUGCUAAGGGAAGGCUACUGGCUUCUUCAAGAAAUCCUUGGGUAACUUGAAGGUAGGUGACACCCAAGCUGAGGAAACUGCCUCACCCGGCCCUGCAUGGUUUUGGCCUCUGUCUUCAAUAAACCCUCUGUCAACACUGGGAACUGGGGGGAGCACAUCUCUUCCUCCUCCUUCUAGCAUCACAGCCCCAAACCCAACCCUCGGCACCCAGCCCAUCUGCCUGCUCUCAAGAGAAGAAAAAGGAGAGCCGUUCUUUGUACGAGGUGGGCAGGGGCACAGGAGGCUUCUCGCUGGGGCCCAUUGACUAAUUAUGUCACUGAGAACAAGAGCAUGUGUUUGAAAGCUCUGAAAACUGGAAACGGGGAUAGAAGGAUGGAUGGAUUUAAUUAAUCAUUAUCACUCAGGUGGGAUGGAUCCAAGUCAUGAAGCUAGACUGCAGGAAGGGCCCAGGGAGCUCCUGGCACUCUCUCAGGUGUGAAGGGAAGAAAUGAGGCCAGUUAUUAUGGCUUCACUGUAACUAAUCAAAAUGAGAAUGCAUGGGGCAGCGUGGUACCGUCUACCGGUGCUAGAGUGGGAGCUCUCAUAUAAAUGCUAACAAGGCAAGAAGGGGAUUCUGGCUGGUGGAGGAAGCGCAGAGCAGGAACCACAGGUCUCAUUUCCUCAGACAGCAGCGUGGACUCACUUUAAUUUGCAGAUGUUUUAAGCUCUAGGUGCCAGCAUCUGGAGGGCAGAAGAGAAACAGCUGUCGCCUCAUGGAUGUGACAGAUUAAAGCUGAAAUACACGUGGACAUCUCUCGUUUUAGAAACACAGCGGUCUCCUUUGCUUUGUGUUUGUUUUAUCCACUCCACCUUCCUGCAGUAGUUAGUGGGAGAGAUUUUAUAUCAGGAAUGGCAAAGGUCUCUCUGACACAUAUAGUAUAUUCAGAGGUCAGUACCUAUAAAAAUGGGCUUUGGGGCUGGACAGAGCAAAUUGGAGUUCCUAGCUGGGUUAUCUUGAGCAAAUAUAUGUCUCGGUUUCCUCAUCUGUAUGUCUUGGUUUCCUCAUCUGUAAAAUGGGGCUAUCAGCAGUAGUGUCCAGGAUAUCUUUAAGGUUCCAUUGAGACGUGGAUGUCAAGGUUCAUCCCAGGGCUUGACAUGGAGCAGUGGAGUGCUCUAUGACUCAGUAAGUGGCAGCUAUCACUGUGGUCAUCUUCACCAUCGAUUCUGGGCUGCGUCUUCUUGUGGUCAUGCUAAGCGGCGAACGUGAAGGAAGACUGACUGAGCAGGGAAUGUAGGCGAUCGUCACCGCACUGUCAUAUGCUUCGCUUUCUCCUCCUAGAAAACAAAGCAUCCUUUGAAAAAGGAAUUGCUUUCAUUUCCCAUGGGAAGUAAUUUCUACAACCCACAAGUAAAUGCAGUCUAAUGACUAGAAUGUGACAGUAGCUAUCAAGAAUGAAAUGUUCCAUAAACAGUACUGCCUCCUAAAAUUACUCAGUCUCAGUGCUUGGUUUGGGUUCUCUCUUGCCCACCCGUCCUUCCCUGCUACUUCUCUUCCUCUCUCCCAACAUCUCCUCUCCCCCAUUCCAUCUUUUUAGGAUGCUCAGACCAAGCUACCACUGCCCCCCGCCACCCCAAAUCCCUAAAGAAUGCAAAGCUGUCCUGGGGCUCCAUCGAAAGCCCAAAGGACUAGAUGCGACUCUGUUUAUUGAGUGGCCUGGGGGAGGGAGCGGGGGUCUUGAUGCUGCAAAGGCAGUUGGCAAACCAGUGGAGCAUGCCUCAUCCAUUUUCAGAGAAACAUCAUUUAAUCUCAGAACAUCUGCAAGAGUCUGCAGCAUAUUUUCCCCAGGGUUUGACUCUGAGCUGACAAAAGAUACCGGACACCCCCCCAGAUUCUGUGACACAUCUCGAUGUUAUUGAACAAACAUCAGUUAGGUUCCUGUCUCAGAGCACCAUCAGUCUGAAUAGGAAAUAUGCCAGCACUCUUAUCAUCGCUGACAGCACAGUCACUCACCUGCUGAUAGUGUCAGGAACGCAGUUCCCCGUGGUGGGGGGCUCUCCUCUCACUUCUCUGGAAGCAUUGUUCUCAGGCGGGCAAAAUAAUUAAGGGCCUUUGGAGUUUAUGUUUACUUUCUCAGAGUAAGCAAGAAUUCCUUGAUCAAUGUAAUGUACCUUGCAAACACAUAAUAAAUGUCAAUGGAUUCAAUAUUCUUUGAAACACGUUCAGGGCUUACUUUUCC